Molecule: long non-coding RNA, 1544 nt
Organism: Sitodiplosis mosellana (orange wheat blossom midge)
Lineage: Eukaryota; Metazoa; Arthropoda; Insecta; Diptera; Cecidomyiidae
Exons: 3
Source: RefSeq, a predicted model, not a curated record
CAUUCUGUGUGUAAACAGUGGUCAAAUGUCAUAAACUAUGUUCUACAUACUUAUUCAAAAUUACUUAUUUGAAUCUCAAUGAAAUAUGCUUUCGAUUGAUCUCUAUAAAGGCCAAAUUAUAGUUUUUUAUAAUACAUUUUUGCAAAUAAAAGCCCAAUAAAUUUGUUUUUCGCACAUUUUGCACCAAACUGGAGUCAUUUUUUGAAAAGAGAUUUCAAUCAAUGAAAAAAUGGACGUUGCAGCUCAUUGAAUCGAUUGGUAGUGAUAAUUUUCUUGAUUUGAAAGGAAGUUCUCUUAACAUAUUCAAUGUAAAGUUGGACUUUCUUUAAAAAAUAAAUGUUUUUUCGUUUUCGUACGUAGAUUUAUCUAUUUAAGUAUUCUAUUGACACGUAUUGGUUAAGUAUUGGUAUGGUACUUUGAUACAACCAUACUAAAAUGUCAUCACAACAAACAACAAACAUAAAGCGUGACCAACAACGUGAUGGUGCAGCAAAUUCGACGAACGGUAAAUCUUAUAAAAUGAAAAAACAACAUACCACCAUUCAAACCAUCACGAUCAAAUGGACAAUACGAUUUAACUCCAAGUCGAAACCACAAAAAGCGAAACAAGCUAGAAAAGCAACAAAAGCGAGAAAAGCAACCCAAUAGUCGAGUACGAAGAAGAUGACACUUUGAACCAUCCACCACCCCGCUGUAUGGACAAUUCGUUCACCGCAAGUACCUUCGUUGGAUAUGGCACCAUUUCAAAAUCAACAAAUAGAUGCGCCAAGUACAUCAAUUUAUAACAUUCCCGACGAGAAAUUUGCGGUAAAAUAGGUGUACGCCGACAUUCCGUCGCAUAUCCGCGGAUACUCGCAAUGCGAAUAGGAAUCCACAAUAAAAGUUGCCGCAAAAUGUUAUCGCUGAAUACCCUGCGACUAUUCGCGCUGCGAACAACAGUACAGUUCCAACCUGAAGUUGGCUGCGCAUGACAUUUCAGAGUAUUCGCAGGGUACUCGCCAACUAUCCGCAAUGCGAUUAUUCGCAAAUUUCUUGUCGGGAUUCUAGCGGAACAACACCCAGCGAAAAAGACGAAGUCUGGUUUUGGUGGCAUCGAAAAUUCGGUAGAAGUGGCAGAGACCUUGAGCACUCUAUCUACUUUGACAACAUCACAAGAUAAUCCGUCCCCUCCUGGUGUACGCUAUCAAUGCUGCAGCUCAACAUGUUGCUCAAUAUCCUGAAAGCGAAACUGCUGCACGCUUAUUCGAAUCUAUGUUACUAGCAGCAACAAGGGCGUCAAUAUUCGGAAUGGGCUUGAAACAAUUUACAGAGGGUAUGCCAGUCGAUGAUCGAUUGAAGGUCGGAAAAAAGUGGCAGGAUAUGAUUAUGAGUAAUAAUAAGUCUGAGCAAUAGCCGCGAUUAAAUUCAAAAGUAACUAAGAGAAUCCAAAAAUGCCAUUCAAUAAUAAUAAUUUUAAUAAGAGUUCAAACGCAAAAUGUUCAAAUUAAAAAAUAAAUCCAAGUUUUUUUUUGCUGAUGCUAAAUCGGUCGAAAGUUCAAAACGAA